Molecule: ribosomal RNA, 468 nt
Filed under: uncultured bacterium
Lineage: Bacteria
Description: partial 16S ribosomal RNA
Rfam family: Bacterial small subunit ribosomal RNA
Source: RNAcentral
GACGAACGCUGGCGGCGUGCUUAACACAUGCAAGUCGAACGGAAAGGCCCUGCUUUUGUGGGGUGCUCGAGUGGCGAACGGGUGAGUAACACGUGAGUAACCUGCCCUUGACUUUGGGAUAACUUCAGGAAACUGGGGCUAAUACCGGAUAGGAGCUCCUGCUGCAUGGUGGGGGUUGGAAAGUUUCGGCGGUUGGGGAUGGACUCGCGGCUUAUCAGCUUGUUGGUGGGGUAGUGGCUUACCAAGGCUUUGACGGGUAGCCGGCCUGAGAGGGUGACCGGCCACAAUGGGACUGAGAGACGGACCAGACGCCUACGUGAGGCAGCAGGGGGAAAUAUGGCACAACGGGCGGAAGCCAGAUGCAGCAACGCCGCGUGCGUGAUGACGGCCUUCGGGGUGUAAACCGCUGUCGCCUGUGACGAAGCGUGAGUGACGGUAAUGGGUAAAGAAGCACCGGCUAACUACGUG